AACGAACGCUGGCGGCAUGCCUAACACAUGCAAGUCGAACGAGACCUUCGGGUCUAGUGGCGCACGGGUGCGUAACGCGUGGGAAUCUGCCCUUGGGUUCGGAAUAACAGUUGGAAACGACUGCUAAUACCGGAUGAUGACGUAAGUCCAAAGAUUUAUCGACCAAGGAUGAGCCCGCGUAGGAUUAGCUAGUUGGUGAGGUAAAGGCUCACCAAGGCGACGAUCCUUAGCUGGUCUGAGAGGAUGAUCAGCCACACUGGGACUGAGAACCGGCCCAGACUCCUACGGGAGGCAGCAGUGGGGAAUAUUGGACAAUGGGCGAAAGCAUGAUCCAGCAAUGCCGCGUGAGUGAUGAAGGCCUUAGAGUUGUAAAGCUCUUUUACCCGGGAUGAUAAUGACAGUACCGGAAGAAUAAGCACCGGCUAACUCCGUG
This 433-nucleotide ribosomal RNA is filed under the name uncultured bacterium. RNAcentral's name for it is "partial 16S ribosomal RNA". It matches the Rfam family "Bacterial small subunit ribosomal RNA", at positions 29 to 507 of the family's 1533-position model. The record is from RNAcentral.